GGUCCGUUGGCCCAAUGGCAAGGCGUCUGACUACGAAUCAGGAGAUUGCGGGUUCGAUCCCCGUGCGGACCU
Molecule: transfer RNA, 72 nt
Organism: Pseudomassariella vexata
Lineage: Eukaryota; Fungi; Ascomycota; Sordariomycetes; Amphisphaeriales; Pseudomassariaceae
Rfam family: tRNA
About the family: Transfer RNA (tRNA) molecules are approximately 80 nucleotides in length. Their secondary structure includes four short double-helical elements and three loops (D, anti-codon, and T loops). Further hydrogen bonds mediate the characteristic L-shaped molecular structure. tRNAs have two regions of fundamental functional importance: the anti-codon, which is responsible for specific mRNA codon recognition, and the 3' end, to which the tRNAs corresponding amino acid is attached (by aminoacyl-tRNA synthetases). tRNAs cope with the degeneracy of the genetic code in two manners: having more than one tRNA (with a specific anti-codon) for a particular amino acid; and 'wobble' base-pairing, i.e. permitting non-standard base-pairing at the 3rd anti-codon position.
Source: Rfam